CCUACGGGAGGCAGCAGUGGGGAAUAUUGCACAAUGGGCGAAAGCCUGAUGCAGCGACGCCGCGUGAGGGAUGACGGCCUUCGGGUUGUAAACCUCUUUCAGCAGGGAAGAAGCGAAAGUGACGGUACCUGCAGAAGAAGCGCCGGCUAACUACGUGCCAGCAGCCGCGGUAAUACGUAGGGCGCAAGCGUUGUCCGGAAUUAUUGGGCGUAAAGAGCUCGUAGGCGGCUUGUCACGUCGGUUGUGAAAGCCCGGGGCUUAACCCCGGGUCUGCAGUCGAUACGGGCAGGCUAGAGUGUGGUAGGGGAGAUCGGAAUUCCUGGUGUAGCGGUGAAAUGCGCAGAUAUCAGGAGGAACACCGGUGGCGAAGGCGGAUCUCUGGGCCAUUACUGACGCUGAGGAGCGAAAGCGUGGGGAGCGAACAGGAUUAGAUACCCUGGUAGUCCACGCCGUAAACGGUGGGAACUAGGUGUUGGCGACAUUCCACGUCGUCGGUGCCGCAGCUACGACAUUAACGUUACCCGUCCGUCGGGAGGUACGGCCGCGACGACGUAAACUUAAACUAGUAAGUAGUACGGCGUGAGACGUGCCGAACGACGACGACGAGGGAGUAGG
Molecule: ribosomal RNA, 615 nt
Filed under: uncultured bacterium
Lineage: Bacteria
Description: bacterial SSU rRNA
Rfam family: Bacterial small subunit ribosomal RNA (bases 1-526)
Source: RNAcentral